This 250-nucleotide ribosomal RNA is filed under the name uncultured bacterium. RNAcentral describes it as "partial 16S ribosomal RNA". It matches the Rfam family "Bacterial small subunit ribosomal RNA", at positions 524 to 773 of the family's 1533-position model. The record is from RNAcentral.
UACGUAGGUGGCAAGCGUUAUCCGGAAUUACUGGGUGUAAAGGGCGUGUAGGCGGGGAGACAAGUCAGAUGUGAAAUUCCGGGGCUCAACCCCGGCGCUGCAUCUGAAACUGUUUCUCUUGAGUACUGGAGAGGAAAGUGGAAUUCCUAGUGUAGCGGUGAAAUGCGUAGAGAUUAGGAGGAACACCAGUGGCGAAGGCGGCUUUCUGGACAGUAACUGACGCUGAGGCGCGAAAGUGUGGGGAGCGAAC